AGUGAACGCUGGCGGCGUGCUUAACACAUGCAAGUCGAACGGGAGAAGCUGGUGCUUGCACUAGCCUAUCUAGUGGCAUACGGGUGAGUAAUACAUGGGAAUCUGCCUCGCAGUAUGGAAUAACUGUUGGAAACAAUAGCUAAUACCGUAUAUUGCCGAAAGGUGAAAGAUUUAUCGCUGCGAGAUGAGCCCAUGCAAGAUUAGCUAGUUGGUGGGGUAAUGGCCUACCAAGGCUUUGAUCUUUAGCUGGUCUGAGAGGAUGGUCAGCCACACUGGAACUGAGACACGGUCCAGACUCCUACGGGAGGCAGCAGUGAGGAAUAUUGGACAAUGGGCGAAAGCCUGAUCCAGCGACGCCGCGUGAGUGAUGAAGGCCUUAGGGUUGUAAAGCUCUUUUAGUGGGGAAGAUAAUGACGGUACCCACAGAAAAAGCCCCGGCUAACUUCGUGCCAGCCGCCGCUGUAA
RNAcentral lists this ribosomal RNA (465 nucleotides) under uncultured bacterium. RNAcentral's name for it is "partial 16S ribosomal RNA". It matches the Rfam family "Bacterial small subunit ribosomal RNA", at positions 29 to 523 of the family's 1533-position model. The record is from RNAcentral.